RNAcentral lists this non-coding RNA (28 nucleotides) under Rattus norvegicus (Norway rat). The record is from RNAcentral. Lineage: Eukaryota; Metazoa; Chordata; Mammalia; Rodentia; Muridae.
UGAGGAUGUGUAAUAGAGACAUAAAAGA